UAGGGUUAAGAUUUGGUUAGGAUUCGAUUUAGAAUUAGGAUUUGAUUUAGAAUUAGGAUUUGAUUUAGGAUUUAGAAUUUGUUUUAGGAUUUAGGAUUUGGUUAGGAUUUGAUUUAGGAUUAGAAUUUGGUUAGGAUUUGGUUUAGAAUUUAGGAUUUGGUUUAGGAUUGGUUAGGAUUUGAUUUAGGAUUAGGAUUUGGUUAGGAUUUGGUUUAGGAUCUAGGAUUUGAUUUAGGGUUGGAUAGAAUUUGAUUUAGGAUUUAGAGUUUGAUUAGGGUUUGAUUUAGGAUUUAAGAUUUUAUUUGAAUUUAUUAAGGAUUUAAGAUUUAGUUAAUUUUUGGCCUAAAGUUUGAAUGAAGUCCAAUAGAAUUUUAAGUAGGAUUAAAUUAAGAUUGAAUUGAAAUGUAUUUGAGAUAUAUUUAUGAUCAUUCUAAUAUUUCUUUAAGAUUUUUUAUUAUUUCUUUGUAAUUCCUUUAAGAUUUUUUUGAAUUUGAUUAAAGCUUGCUUAGCAUUGUUAUAGUCUAAUUAGAGUUUACUUAAUAUUUUAUUAGAGUUAGGAUUUUGUUGUUGUAAUUUUCAUUCUACCUUCCACAGCCAAGUGCCCGGAGCAUUCUCAAGCAAGACUUCACGUAUUACAAUAGCGUGCAAUGCAACAUGAC
Molecule: long non-coding RNA, 659 nt
Filed under: Physcomitrium patens
Lineage: Eukaryota; Viridiplantae; Streptophyta; Bryopsida; Funariales; Funariaceae
Description: long non-coding RNA (PPAT_LNC002290)
Source: RNAcentral